ACACUCCUGCGGGAGGCAGCAGUGGGGAAUUUUGGACAAUGGGCGAAAGCCUGAUCCAGCAAUGCCGCGUGAGUGAAGAAGGCCUUCGGGUUGUAAAGCUCUUUUGUCAGGGAAGAAACGGUGAAAGCUAAUAUCUUUUGCUAAUGACGGUACCUGAAGAAUAAGCACCGGCUAACUACGUGCCAGCAGCCGCGGUAAUACGUAGGGUGCAAGCGUUAAUCGGAAUUACUGGGCGUAAAGCGUGCGCAGGCGGUUUUGUAAGUCUGAUGUGAAAUCCCCGGGCUCAACCUGGGAAUUGCAUUGGAGACUGCAAGGCUAGAAUCUGGCAGAGGGGGGUAGAAUUCCACGUGUAGCAGUGAAAUGCGUAGAUAUGUGGAGGAACACCGAUGGCGAAGGCAGCCCCCUGGGUCAAGAUUGACGCUCAUGCACGAAAGCGUGGGGAGCAAACAGGAUUAGAAACCCUAGUAGUCCAUGA
Molecule: ribosomal RNA, 475 nt
Filed under: uncultured organism
Description: partial 16S ribosomal RNA
Rfam family: Bacterial small subunit ribosomal RNA
Source: RNAcentral